CAGCCGCCGCGGGAACACGUAGGUGGCAAGCAUUGUCCGGAAUUAUUGGGCGUAAAGGGCUCGCAGGCGGUUUCUUAAGUCUGAUGUGAAAGCCCCCGGCUCAACCGGGGAGGGUCAUUGGAAACUGGGAAACUUGAGUGCAGAAGAGGAGAGUGGAAUUCCACGUGUAGCGGUGAAAUGCGUAGAGAUGUGGAGGAACACCAGUGGCGAAGGCGACUCUCUGGUCUGUAACUGACGCUGAGGAGCGAAAGCGUGGGGAGCGAACAGGAUUAGAUACCCCUGUAGUCCCUGUCUCUUAUAC
Molecule: ribosomal RNA, 301 nt
Filed under: uncultured bacterium
Lineage: Bacteria
Description: partial 16S ribosomal RNA
Rfam family: Bacterial small subunit ribosomal RNA
Source: RNAcentral